GACGAACGCUGGCGGCGUGCUUAACACAUGCAAGUCGAACGGAAAGGCCCUGCUUUUGUGGGGUGCUCGAGUGGCGAACGGGUGAGUAACACGUGAGUAACCUGCCCUUGACUUUGGGAUAACUUCAGGAAACUGGGGCUAAUACCGGAUAGGAGCUCCUGCUGCAUGGUGGGGGUUGGAAAGUUUCGGCGGUUGGGGAUGGACUCGCGGCUUAUCAGCUUGUUAGUGGGGUAGUGGCUUACCAAGGCUUUGACGGGUAGCCGGCCUGAGAGGGUGACCGGCCACAAUGGGAAUGAGAUACGGGCCAGACUCCUAAGGGAGGCAGCAGUGGGGAAUAUUGCACAAUGGGCGGAAGCCUGAUGCAGCAACGCCGCGUGCGGGAUGACGGCCUUCGGGUUGUAAACCGCUUUCGCCUGUGACGAAGCGUGAGUGACGGUAAUGGGUAAAGAAGCACCGGCUAACUACGUG
RNAcentral lists this ribosomal RNA (468 nucleotides) under uncultured bacterium. RNAcentral describes it as "partial 16S ribosomal RNA". It matches the Rfam family "Bacterial small subunit ribosomal RNA", at positions 28 to 507 of the family's 1533-position model. The record is from RNAcentral.